RNAcentral lists this unclassified non-coding RNA (336 nucleotides) under soil metagenome. RNAcentral's name for it is "partial contains 5.8S ribosomal RNA, internal transcribed spacer 2, and large subunit ribosomal RNA". The stretch from base 1 to 120 matches the Rfam family "5.8S ribosomal RNA", at positions 35 to 154 of the family's 154-position model. The record is from RNAcentral.
GAUGAAGAACGUAGCGAAAUGCGAUAAGUAAUGUGAAUUGCAGAAUUCAGUGAAUCAUCGAAUCUUUGAACGCACAUUGCGCCCGCCAGUAUUCUGGCGGGCAUGCCUGUUCGAGCGUCAUUUCAACCAUCAAGCCCCCGGCUUGUGUUGGGGACCUGCGGCUGCCGCAGGCCCUGAAAAGCAGUGGCGGGCUCGCUGUCACACCGAGCGUAGUAGCAUACAUCUCGCUCUGGGCGUGCUGCGGGUUCCGGCCGUUAAACCACCUUCAUAACCCAAGGUUGACCUCGGAUCAGGUAGGAAGACCCGCUGAACUUAAGCUUUUCAAUAAGGGGAGGA